Molecule: ribosomal RNA, 206 nt
Filed under: uncultured Eubacteriales bacterium
Lineage: Bacteria; Bacillati; Bacillota; Clostridia; Eubacteriales
Description: uncultured Clostridiales bacterium partial 16S ribosomal RNA
Rfam family: Bacterial small subunit ribosomal RNA
Source: RNAcentral
UGCGUAGGUGGUCUUGUAAGCGUGGGGUGAAAGGCAGUGGCUUAACCAUUGUUAGCCUUGCGAACUGUGAGACUUGAGUGCAGGAGAGGAAAGUGGAAUUCCUAGUGUAGCGGUGAAAUGCGUAGAUAUUAGGAAGAACACCAGUGGCGAAGGCGACUUUCUGGACUGUAACUGACACUGAGGCACGAAAGCGUGGGGAGCAAACA